Molecule: ribosomal RNA, 496 nt
Filed under: uncultured bacterium
Lineage: Bacteria
Description: partial 16S ribosomal RNA
Rfam family: Bacterial small subunit ribosomal RNA
Source: RNAcentral
GAUGAACGCUGGCGGCGUGCCUAAUACAUGCAAGUAGAACGCUGAAGGAAGGAGCUUGCUCUUUCCGGGUGAGUUGCGGACGGGUGAGUAACGCGUAGGUAACCUGCCUGUUAGCGGGGGAUAACUACGGGAAACGAUAGCUAAUACCGCAUAAUAGUAGAUAUGGCAUGAUACCUACUUAAAAGGUGCAAUUGCAGCACUACCAGAUGGACCUCCGUUUUAUUAGCUAGUUGGUGAGGUAACGGCCCACCAAGGCAACGAUACUUAGCCGCCUUGAGUGGUGGUUGGGCCACACUGGAACUGAGCCACGGUCCAGACUCCUACGGGAGGAACAAGAGGGGAAUUUCGGCCAAUGACCGAAGUCCGGACGCAGAAAGCCCGCUUGGUGAAGGAAGGUUUCCGAUUGGUAAACCCCUUUUUAAGGGAAAGAAGAGUGGGAGAGUGAAAAGUUCACGUUGUGACGGUAUCUUAACAGAAAGGGACGGCUAACUACGUG